Molecule: long non-coding RNA, 406 nt
Organism: Daphnia pulicaria
Lineage: Eukaryota; Metazoa; Arthropoda; Branchiopoda; Diplostraca; Daphniidae
Exons: 3
Source: RefSeq, a predicted model, not a curated record
UCGAUAUUCCAACGAUAUAAAAGACACCACCAAUCGGACAGAUGAAACAGACACGGCUGACUCUUGCAGUUGACAAUCUCAGAUCACCAAUAGCCAACAUGCAGAAAUAUUUCAUUGCUUUAAUGCUGAUGGCCGUCGCAUCGGCAACUCUGGAUGCCACCAGCAAUAAAGACGCUGGUGCUGUCAAGAGCGAUUCAUCCGCACCGGUGAAAUCCGUCGCUAAUUACAGGACCGACCAACGCAUCCGCCGGCAGGCAGCCACACCCUUUACUCCCAACGUUCCGGUCAUUAACGGCGCCAACAUUCAAUCCACGUCUCUAACUUGAGUUCAGGCACCUGAAGUGAAGCCAUUGGCGUCGCAAUUGGCGGACAACAGCGUCGAUUCCAAACCGGAAAGCGGAAGCAC